Molecule: ribosomal RNA, 510 nt
Filed under: uncultured fungus
Lineage: Eukaryota; Fungi
Description: SSU rRNA
Rfam family: Eukaryotic small subunit ribosomal RNA
Source: RNAcentral
UCAAAGAUUAAGCCAUGCAUGUCUAAGUAUAAGCAACUAUACGGUGAAACUGCGAAUGGCUCAUUAAAUCAGUUAUCGUUUAUUUGAUAGUACCUUACUACAUGGAUAACCGUGGUAAUUCUAGAGCUAAUACAUGCUAAAAACCUCGACUUCGGAAGGGGUGUAUUUAUUAGAUAAAAAACCAAUGCCCUUCGGGGCUCCUUGGUGAAUCAUAAUAACUUAACGAAUCGCAUGGCCUUGCGCCGGCGAUGGUUCAUUCAAAUUUCUGCCCUAUCAACUUUCGAUGUUUGGGUAUUGGCCAAACAUGGUCGCAACGGGUAACGGAGGGUUAGGGCUCGACCCCGGAGAAGGAGCCUGAGAAACGGCUACUACAUCNNAAGGAAGGCAGCAGGCGCGCAAAUNACCCAAAUCCCGAUUNGGGGAGGUAGUGACAAUAAAUACUGAUACAGGGCUCUUDUGGGUCUNGUAAUUGGAAUGAGUACAAUUUAAAUCUCUUAACGAGGAACAAUU